GAUCCUGGCUCAGAUUGAACGCUGGCGGCAGGCUUAAUACAUGCAAGUCGAACGGUAGCAGCAGGAAGGCUUGCCUUCUGGCUGACGAGUGGCGGACGGGUGAGUAAUACCUGGGAAACUGCCUAUAAGAGGGGGGACAACACCUGGAAACGGGUGCUAAUACCGCAUAAGCCCUGAGGGGAAAAGGAUGGGAAACCAUGCGCUUAUAGAUGUGCCCAGGAGGGAUUAGCUAGUUGGGGAGGUAAAGGCUCACCAAGGCGACGAUCUCUAGCUGGUCUGAGAGGAUGAUCAGCCACAUUGGGACUGAGACACGGCCCAAACUCCUACGGGAGGCAGCAGUAGGGAAUAUUGCACAAUGGGGGGAACCCUGAUGCAGCCAUGCCGCGUGUGUGAAGAAGGCCUUCGGGUUGUAAAGCACUUUCAGCGGGGAGGAAGGCUGGAGCUCCAACAGGGCUUUCAGUCAGACGUUACCCGCAGAAGAAGCGCCGGCUAACCCCGUGCCAGCCGCUGC
RNAcentral lists this ribosomal RNA (511 nucleotides) under uncultured bacterium. Its description in RNAcentral is "bacterial SSU rRNA". It matches the Rfam family "Bacterial small subunit ribosomal RNA", at positions 15 to 518 of the family's 1533-position model. The record is from RNAcentral.